CUUUUCUUUUUUGAAUUUUGUUUGAUUCUGUUUUAUAUGGAUUGGACUAUGCAAAUGAUGUCAGAUUAGUUUUUCAUUUUUGUAAUUCUUGUGAGAUUUUAUUGUUUGAUUUUGUUGUAUCAGUUGUCAAAUUGAGCACUUGAAUGAGUUUGCUACAGAUUUUGGUCCAUGGUGGGGUCCACCAGAUAAAUGCUCUGGAUAACUGGUUGCUGGGCUCACCUGUACAAAAUGCCAUCUCAUCUGUUUAACUGACUAAGGUUUGCCGUGAUGGCGAUUUAUGAAUUUAUUGUUGUUAAUGAUGGAGUGGGAGUGAUUUCAAGUACUUUCGCUUUUACUAAUCGAAUUUUGUUAUGAUGAACUGAGUAGCAUUUAUGUUAUUAUUUUAUUUGAUGAUUGGAUUAUUGGUUUGUGUUGUUGUAUGAUUGUGUUCUAGGGUUGAAUGAAUUGCUCUGACAAUGUGGAAAUCAAAUGAAAAUUUUCCUGAUGCAUUGGGUAUUGAAAUUGGAUUAUUCAUGUGCUAUGUUCUUUGCUUGCAAAAUCCUAUUUUAGUUGUUGGUUUUGAGUUUUUUACCAUAAUGGUUUAAUGUAUGAAUCACAUUGUCGGGUCAUAGGUUUCGUUCCAACUUUGUCCCCUGUCACUGUGCAGUGUUUUUUUUUUUUUUUUGUUUUUUUUGUUUUGUUUUGUUUUUUAAUUUCACAAUUAAGCAACACCAGUUAUGGUAUGAUUUAGAUCUUGCAAACAUAUAUUUAUAAAAGAGAGAUGAACAUUUAAUAACCUUCAAUAGUGGAUUGUAUACAAGACACAGACUUCUUUCUACUUAGGAAGACUAUGAUGAAUAUAUAAAGUUUGCAAUUUUAGAUCAGGUGAGUUUCACCACUCAAUAUAAGGUUAAUGGUUAUGGAUGUUUACAUGAAGAGAUGGAAGAGAGGUUGUGAAAUCAAUAGGUGUCCAAAAAUGAUGUGGUGGAAUUUGGAAGGAGAGAAAACAAUGUUAUUUAGUAAUAAACCGAUGGAAGAGGGAUGUUGAGGAAGAAGCUAAUGUUAUGUGGAAUGAGAUGGCAGAGUGCAUUGGGAAAGUGGCCAAAGAAGUUUUAGGAGUAUCUUGAGGAAAAACCACUGAUAUAAGGAAACUUGGUGGUGGAAUUAUGAGGUCCAUAAAGCUAUUUAGUGAGAGGUGAUCAUGUUUCUUGGCAUAGUAAGUGACUAGAAGAUUUAUAAGUAUAUAGAAACAACAAAAGAAAACUAAGAAAGUAGUGAGGCUCAAUGUAAGGUAUAUCAUAUAUGUGAUCUAUACAGUGGAUUUGGGAUGAGAAGGUGAGAAGGAUGAUUUCAAACUUGCAAACAUGAGAGAUAGGAAGAUAAGGAACCUUGAUCAUGCCGGAUGUAUUAAGAGUGACGAUAAGAUCAAGGAAAGGUGGAGAAACUAUCUUUAGAGCUUGUUAAAUGACGUUAACUGAGAAGUGAGAACUUAGGAAUAGGAGGAAUCAUAAGCUCAAAUGAGGCUAAAGGCUAUAUAGAUGCUUUUUGAAAGCUUCUUUCACUUCAGAUAUCUUAAUCAUACAAAAGUAUUAUCUUUCGAAAAUACUUCUGUAGGAUUAAGAUAUCUGAAGUGAAAGAAACUUUGAGAAAGAUGAGGAUAUGAAAGGCUGAAGGAUCAUGUGUUAUACCAAUAGAGGUUUGGAAGUGCACGGGAGGAAUUGGUAUAUUUUCGUUGACAAAGUUAUUGAACAAGAUAGUUUGAAAAAGAUGGUAGAUGAAUGGAGGAAAAAGUUACAUGGUGCCGAUUUAUAAGGAGAUGCACAGAGUUGCACUACUAUUGUGGUAUUAAACUUAUGAGUCAUACUAUGAAACUUUGAGAGAGAGUGACUAUGCAAAGAUUAAGGCAUGCGACAAAUGUAUUAGAGUUAGUUUGGAUUUAGGAUGGGAAGGUCAACCAUUGAGGCUAUUUCCUACUUGAUUGAUGGAGAAAUAUAGGUAGAGGAAUGUUUUCCAGUCUUUAUUGUCUUGGAGAAAGCAUCUGAUAGGGUCCCUAGAGAGAUGAUUUGGUGGGUGUUGGGAAAGAAAGGAGUCUCAAUUCUCAAGAGGAUAUAUUGCAUGACUAAGGCUACAUAUGAGGAAGUGAUAACAAAUAUAAGAUCACUAGCGCAUAGACGCGAGUUUUCUAUUAUUUUAAGCUUACACCAAGGGUCAACAUUAAACCCAUAUCCUUUUGCAUCACUUUCAGGAAGAGGUUCUAUGGUGUAUACUGUUUGCAGAUGACAUCGUUUUGAUUGACGAGAUGAGGGAGGGUGUAAAUGCAAAGUUAGAACUAUGGAUGAAUGCUUUAGAAUCUAGAGAUUUUAAAAUUUGUUAAGAUUACAAACAUAGUAUAUGGGUUGCAAUUUAGUAACAAUAGGAGUGGAAACAAGGAAUUAGUUAAGAUUCUGACCAAAAUGUACCCCAAGAUGGCCAUUUUCAAUAUCUUGGGUUGGUAAUUCAUGAGUACGGAGAGAUUGAGAAGGUUGCUGUUCAUUGAAUUAGAGCUAGGUGGAUGAAUUGGAGACGUGCCUCUAGAGUUAUAUGUGAUCCCCGCGUACCAAUCAAACUGAAGUGGCUAUAAGACCAACCAUGUUUAUGGGAUAGAAUGUUGGAUAGUCAAGGAACAACAUGUUCAUAGGUUUAGUGUGAUUGAAAUGAGCACAUUGAGAUGGAUGAGUGGCAAGACAAGGAUAGAAUUAAAAAUGAUUGCAUUUUAGGGAACUUUGGAGUAGCACCAAUAGGUAACAAGAUGAGGGAAAGUAGAUUUGGAUGGCGAGAGCAAUGAUUGCUCAGGGUAGGAGUGAGUUGGUUCAAGUUGAAGGUUCGAAAAGGGCAAGGGAAAGCCCAAAAGGACGUGGGUGGAGGUUGUAAGAAAAAUCUGAUGACCAAUAGUUUAAUUGAGGAGAUGGCCCUCGAUAGAGUGGAAUGGUAGGACAUGAUUCAUGUAGCUGACCCCAUUUAGUUGGGAUAGGGCUUUGAUGAAGAAGAAGAAGAUGAAUUAGGCGGCAUGUGGAGGCUCAAUUUCUAACAUAACAAAAUGACUAAUGAAAUGGACGAUGAGGUGAGUCUAUAUUUGUAAAAAAAGAAAUGGAAAGAACCAAGUAUAUGGUGGGUUUCUUCUUUCUUGAUCUGUUUCAUGGAUUUUGCUCCAGUGGGUUAGAGAAAAAAAUGAUUCCUGAAACUGCAACAUCUACUAUUACAACUUCAUUGCGUGUGUAAUGAAUGCCAAAAUAUUGAUAUUUAAAGAAAUGUCCAACAAUACACAUUCAAUGCCCAAGUUUGGCCCACUUGAUAGGCAGUUGGCCUUUUUUUUUUUUGGGCCAAGUCAGAUACACAAUCAGGGUGGCUUGAUGAAUGGACUGAAUUUCUCAUGUGUAUGAUGUUGGCACACAUUCCAGUGAGUAUGACCGUACUCGCGCUUGGAUGAGUUGCAUCAUGUUUCUUGUGUUCUUUUGGCAUGGAUGGUCCACAUAAAUGUAGUUGAAAAUUGAAUUGGCGAGUUAAAUGUAUUUUUUCUUUUUCUAUUUGUACCUUUUGGCAUGAAAGAGCUACAGCAGAAAACCUGCAGUUAAUAAAACUUCAAUUCUAGUAGUUGUUUGUCUACUAUUAAAUUACUCAUGUUGGAUAUGUGGAAGAAUCGCACAUCACAUUUGAAUAUAAAAACAGCUUACAAUAAAGUUGACGUUUCAGAUUAUGGAAGUACUGAGUAUUGGUGUAUUGUACCACUUAUGAAUAAUAUGAAAAUCCUAUGACCCCAUAUGACUUCUCUACAGGGUUUCUUGGGAAUGUGGAAAACCCUAGAAAUGAAAUCAGUUUCAGUGAAAAUCCACUUCUUCCUUUGAGGAAGAAAGUAACCUUGUAAACCAAUGUCCAUUUUCGAGCUUUUCCUAAAAAAUCGUGGGCAUUCAUUUCUCCCAAAAAUGAUGUUAGGUUGACUUCCAAGGUAGAGAAGACACAUGACAUGAGAGAACUGACGUGAAAUCCAUGUAAAAUUGGACUUCAAAACAAAACAUUAGAUAGAAAAUUGGAAUCCAUGGUUUUUCAUUUCUUGAGGAUUCCAGGUGAAUCCAUGGUUUUCCAUUUCUUGAGGAUUCCAGGUUACAUUUCACUAUCCACAGUUUUAUUUCCUUCCAUCCAAACACCCUCUAAGUUAAUUUCUUGUGUAAUGUUUCUUAUCCUCAAGCUGUUAGUCUGUUAGUGUUCCUUUAGAAGAGAGUGUUGGGUUUGGUCCAGUUGGACAGUUAUGCCAUUGAUUGCAUCAGCUACACAGUCAAUAAUUUGGUAGAUUAUGACAAUGUGCACAAGAGCAACUUGUUGGAAGUCAAUGUCAAUUCUAUCCACUUGCUUCUGUGACGAUGGCUGUAGUUGUGUUGUACGUUUGUUUCUUUUACUAAUACAUCAUUUUCAUGAUUAAAACAUUAAAGUCUUGCUUAAAUCUGGCCUUGCUAGCCUUCAUGAUGUAUUAAUACUUAAUUGUUUU
Magnolia sinica is the source of this 4498-nucleotide long non-coding RNA. RefSeq lists it as uncharacterized. The transcript is spliced from 2 exons. Lineage: Eukaryota; Viridiplantae; Streptophyta; Magnoliopsida; Magnoliales; Magnoliaceae. The record is from RefSeq and is a predicted model, not a curated record.